This 23-nucleotide non-coding RNA is filed under the name Mus musculus (house mouse). Lineage: Eukaryota; Metazoa; Chordata; Mammalia; Rodentia; Muridae. The record is from RNAcentral.
UGAAAACGUGAAUGGAAGGGGGC